AACACGGAAUUCAGUUGGCCUCUUUUUCAAGUGGCGGCCCUCAUUCAACUGGGCUAUGAAACCAUACUGGCCAGGAAUCACCUAAACCAAUAUAAUGAAAGAGUUUGGCUUAAAUCUCCUAUCCCCAGCUCAGUAAACACUAUGUUGCAGUAUUUGAGUUCCAAUUGCAAGCCAAACUAGAAAAGAAAGAUUAUAAAUAAGAGAACGGACCUUGGUUUCACAGGCAGUGACA
RNAcentral lists this unclassified non-coding RNA (232 nucleotides) under Hevea brasiliensis (rubber tree). The record is from RNAcentral. Lineage: Eukaryota; Viridiplantae; Streptophyta; Magnoliopsida; Malpighiales; Euphorbiaceae.